RNAcentral lists this ribosomal RNA (1089 nucleotides) under Smittium culicis. Its description in RNAcentral is "eukaryotic LSU rRNA". It matches the Rfam family "Eukaryotic large subunit ribosomal RNA", at positions 1 to 924 of the family's 3401-position model. Lineage: Eukaryota; Fungi; Kickxellomycota; Harpellomycetes; Harpellales; Legeriomycetaceae. The record is from RNAcentral.
AUCUGAACUCAAACAGGCAAGAUUACCCGCUGAAUUUAAGCAUAUUAAUAAGCGGAGGAAAAGAAACUAACAAGGAUUCCCCUAGUAACGGCGAGUGAAGCGGGAACAGCUCAAGCUUGAAAUCUGCACCUUGUAAAAAGGGUGCCGAGUUGUAGCUUUUGGAGGCACUAUUGAGUGGCUAAUCUUGGUAAAAGUCCUUUUGAAUAAGGCAUCAAAGAGGGUGAAAAUCCCGUAUUUGACCAGGAGUGUAAAUUAGCUGCGAUAUCAAGUGUUUUCUUUGAGUCGGGUUGUUUGGGAAUGCAGCCCUAAUUAGGAGGUAAAUUUCUUCUAAAGCUAAAUAUCAGCAAGAGACCGAUAGCAUACAAGUACCGUGAGGGAAAGAUGAAAAGCACUUUGAAAAGAGAGUGAAAAGUACGUGAAAUUGUUGGAAGGGAACCGGUUGAUGACCAAGCUUUUUUGGCUUCCUUUCGGGGGAGUUGGAGGGUCAACAUCGGUUGUUUUAUGGCUAGAAGGGAUUUGCGGGUUGGCGGGGGAAAGGUAGUAAGCGUGUUGGGUAUUUAUACCUAGUGCGUUUAUGUUAUAGACCCCCACAGGCUCGCUUCAAAAGCUCUAUAGUUGUAGCGACCGAGGAAUGCAGUGUGUUUUUAUCCCUCGGGAUUUAGGGCGGUUUGUAGGGAUGCAUUUGUGGGGUUAUCUUUGGGGCUAGACAGCUUUGCUGACUAGUUCUGGUGCUCCAUAUGUACGCCUUGCAAGCUGACCAAGAAGCACUUUGGAUGUUGGCGAAAAGGCAUCAAUCGACCCGUCUUGAAACACGGACCAAGGAGUCCAACAUGCAUGCGAGUAUUUGGGAAAAGAUAAACCCAUGUGCGUAAUGAAAGUGAAUUUUAUUUAGAAUGUGACCUGCUUUAUUGUGGGGCAACAUCAACCGACUUUAGAUAGCGCUGCUUGAAAAGGUUGAGUAAGAGCAUGUAUGCUGGGACCCGAAAGAUGGUGAACUAUGCCUGAAUAGGGUGAAGUCAGAGGAAACUCUGAUGGAAGCUCGUAGAGAUUCUGACGUGCAAAUCGAUCUCAAAAUUUGGGUAUAGGGGC